This is a long non-coding RNA of Hylaeus anthracinus, 341 nucleotides long. RefSeq lists it as uncharacterized. Lineage: Eukaryota; Metazoa; Arthropoda; Insecta; Hymenoptera; Colletidae. The record is from RefSeq and is a predicted model, not a curated record. The transcript has 3 exons.
AGAUGUCAUGACAAUGCAGUCUGCUGGCGUAUUAGUUCGUAAUAAAAACGGUAGAUAUCAUGACAAUGCAGUAAGCUGUGCGUGACAUUCAAUUGUUCCAAGGAAUUUUUGCUGUGCCUGUUUCUUGAGAACAUUUCUGGUUGGAACAUCCUCCUCGUCUUCGGAUGGAACGGCAGCCGGUAUCGCUGAUAAUGGAAAUCGCGGGAAAAGUUGUCCGCCAUUUUUCCCUAAGAUGUAUUGAGAGAUCCCAUUUUGAUGCUUCAUUUCUGGAGUAAUGAAAAAUGCUGCAAAAUCGGAAACAUUGGCUUCGACCCUACUUUCAGAGCCAACAAUGUACGUAA